This is a long non-coding RNA of Nannospalax galili (Upper Galilee mountains blind mole rat), 2125 nucleotides long. RefSeq lists it as uncharacterized. The record is from RefSeq and is a predicted model, not a curated record. Lineage: Eukaryota; Metazoa; Chordata; Mammalia; Rodentia; Spalacidae. The transcript is spliced from 5 exons.
AGUCCCCAAAGUACGUCCUCUCAGCAGAAGGAGCUGCUGGCAAAUGAAAACAGGGGAUUCCACGUGCAGUGCAGAAAGCCUCGAAGGGAUCCAAAGCCCUUGGUGGCAGAAAAAGAGAAGAGCAGGUGAUGUGGAAAUCCUGGAAAAGACAAGGAUGUACCUUUCCUCGGGCCUGGUGAAUAAAGGUAUCCCAGGGAAGUGAGCAGAAAAGGUGCACUACAAAGAGUCUGGGCCCUCACAAGACAAGUUCACGUUCCAGAAGGGGAGAAUGGCAGUUACUUUCUCAAGGAUGGGAGAGGGACCAGUCCAGUCUAGCAGCUAGACUGUCAAAGGGAGGCACAACCGGAGGAGCCCGGCAAGAACCUGCCAAGCACCCUUCCCUGGAGCCUCGCUAAGCAACCAGCCACCGGUCAGCUGUAUGGACCGCCUCAGACUUUCAACGAAACGCUGCGUGCUUCAGGGAGAGGGCGAGCCCAAUGGUGACCCUGAAGUCGCGGUGCAGCUCCUAGCUGCAGUCCAGGUUUCUCUUGCAGCACGUGGGUCUGCGAAAGUCAUUCCAAGAGGUUCCAGGGAAAAGUUGAACCGGCUUACUGGGUGAAUGAGCAGUUUCAACCUCGAAUCUCUCACGAAAAUUUAUUUGAUUUCAAGUUUAUUUUAUGACGAAACCGCAAAUCAACAAAAUCCGAAAGCCUGCUCUAUUAGGGUCCUGGGGAAAGAUAAAUUCGUUUGAAAUGGUAUCUGUCAGAGUAUCUUACACAAAAUAAACUACUCCAAAUAAGACUAACUGAAGCAGCAUGAAGGAAAACAGCUUUGAGGAUAACACAUUAGAAGUGGUGGUUAAACGUUAAUGCUUUUCUGAGUGAGUCGCUUAGACCUUUAGUUAUUUGUUAUAAAAAUAUAGUCAUUCACACAUUUAGGCUGUUUUCUCCAAAACUCUGAAUCAAGCACAAACUGCAUUUUUCUUUCUCAGGGGCUCUUUUAUUGGAAGUAAUUGUGACACAUCAAAUUUAAAUGACUUCUUAAAUUGCUGGAGAAGGGAGAGGGCAACAAUUUAAAAUUAUUUUACUUUUAGAAAUACCAUCCUCAAAGUUCUAUUGCUCAUUCCAAACCCGGCAACAACAACGAUUAAAUACAAUGUAAAACAUGUUUCCUUUCACACGGGGACAACAAAAAAGGCAGAUUAUCAGGGCCCUCUUUUGCAAGUUUGUUAAAGUUGUGUGAAGUUGAGCAAAUAAAUAAUUCUAUUCAUCUACGGUCUAUAUUUCCAUUCUCCUCCCUGACACAGUGAGGGAAAAGAGAAUAUUUUAGCUCCACGAAGUCAAACCAAGGAUAAUGUUACAAUGUCAAAUUGAAUAGAGUCGUGAAAUUGGUGGAGUUACACCACCAUCUGUCGUUAAACUCUGGGACUACAAAAUUUGGGACCUAUAAUAAAUCUUAAUGAACUUUCUCAACUUAAAAAAAGUAAAAUCACAAACUAAAGUCUCCACCUAUAUUUUUGUAACAUGAAGUCUGAAAUUAUCUGACAAAUAUUUUCUCAUAACCCAUACUGCUGGUCAGGUUCCCUUUUCAGAAAGCAAAUAGCCCCUACCUGUUACAUUCCAGAUACAACUUUUUCAAAUCAGUUGUGGGUCUGAAAAGUUCUAUUAGCCCAUCAUGAACACUUUGCUUCCUGUAGACUGCUGAGAAGAACCUUAGAGACCAACUUCAGGGACCACCAAAGUCCUGGAGUGAGUUGAAUGACAAUCUUCUCUUUAAAAUAGCAGUUUAAUCCUUUGUUAGUAUAUUUCAUUGCAACACACUAAGAAAGAUAAGAGGUUGGCUGUGUAAAAAAUAAAAAAUGACUACAAGGCAUUCAGUACCCAGUAUUAGUUCAGAGUUAGACUUUUUAGAAAGACAGAUCAGUCUCUCUGGGACAGAUUUUUACAGGCUAAGAAGAUUCUGUUACAAGGUAUACUUCCUCAAAAUUAACAGGAAACAAAGGCAACUAGUAGAAAAAGCCUUCCAAUUCUCAAUCAGAAGCUCUCCUAAAAUGUUGAAAAUGCUUUUUCACAUAAUACUCAAAAAUAUUUCUGCUACAUAUUCUCAAAACUAUAAACAAAACAUCUUACUUACUAUGUGCAAUGUU